GUCCUUACAAUGAAAUGCAGCUGGAUUAUCUUCCUGAUGGCAGUGGUUACAGGGGUCCAUUCAGAGGUCCAGCUGCAGCAGUCUGGGGCUGAGCUUGUGAGUCCUGGGGCCUCAGUCAAGUUGUCCUGCAAGGCUUCUGGCUACACAUUUACAGACUACUAUAUGCACUGGGUGAAGCAGAGGCCUGAACAGGGUCUGGAGUGGAUUGGAAGGAUUGAUCCUGAGGAUGGUGAUACUGCAUAUGCACCUGAGUUCCAGGGCAAGGCCACACUGACUGCAGACACAUCCUCCAACACAGCCUACAUGCAGCUGAGCAGCCUGACAUCUGAGGACACUGCGGUCUAUUUCUGUGCUAGACACAGUGUUGCAACCACAUCCUGA
Molecule: non-coding RNA, 381 nt
Organism: Mus pahari (shrew mouse)
Lineage: Eukaryota; Metazoa; Chordata; Mammalia; Rodentia; Muridae
Source: the annotation of a RefSeq genome assembly